This 332-nucleotide ribosomal RNA is filed under the name uncultured bacterium. RNAcentral's name for it is "bacterial SSU rRNA". It matches the Rfam family "Bacterial small subunit ribosomal RNA", at positions 568 to 898 of the family's 1533-position model. The record is from RNAcentral.
UAGGUAGGUGGUCUUAUUUGUCUGGGGUGAAAGCCUUGGGCUUAACUCAAGAAGUGCCCCGGAGACGGUAAGACUGGAGUCCUGGAGAGGGUCGUGGAAUUCCCGGUGUAGCGGUGAAAUGCGUAGAGAUCGGGAGGAACACCAGAGGCGAAGGCGGCGACCUGGACAGGGACUGACACUCAACUACGAAAGCGUGGGGAGCAAACAGGAUUAGAUACCCUGGUAGUCCACGCUGUAAACGAUGGGUACUAGGUUUGGCGGGUCUUGACCCCUGCUGAACCGGCGCUAACGCAAUAAGUACCCCGCCUGGGAAGUACGGUCGCAAGACUAAA